RNAcentral lists this ribosomal RNA (253 nucleotides) under uncultured bacterium. Its description in RNAcentral is "partial 16S ribosomal RNA". It matches the Rfam family "Bacterial small subunit ribosomal RNA", at positions 524 to 776 of the family's 1533-position model. The record is from RNAcentral.
UACGAAGGGGGCUAGCGUUACUCGGAAUUACUGGGCGUAAAGAGUGCGUAGGCUGUUUUGUAAGUUGGUAGUUAAAUUCUCAGGCUUAACCUGAGGCCUGCUACCAAAACUGCAAGACUAGAGUGUCGGAGAAGAUAGUGGAAUUCCUAGUGUAGAAGUGAAAUUCAUCGAUAUUAGGAGGAACACCAGAAGCGUAGGCGACUAUCUGGACGAAUACUGACGCUGUCGCACGAAGGCAUGGGGAGCAAACAGG